AGGCUGUCCAAGCCCCGGUUUGGCACGUCUGCUGCCACUGGGUAUGACUCAGGAGCACCCAAGCCACAAGACUCCUUUCUGAGGGGGAAGAGGAAGAUCAGGACACUGUCCGUAGCUCAGCAAGAAACGCUGGGAAGCCUCGGAAGGGACAGGGCAGAUGCUGAAGAAACACCAGCGAAAGGAAGACGUUCGGGCGCUGCCCAUGGUCCUUGUUCUGUGUAUCCUGAGGGAGACGAGUGCCUGACUUAUGUCCCGAAGUAGUACUGCAGCCAUGAAGAGUGGGCUCACCAACUCCACUGGUUUGGGGACUCUGGGGGCAAUGCCAACCAGUUUGAAACCAGAGAAGAACGUGAGACAUGGUGUAGGCCACGCCUUGUAACUGGUGCUCUCCCCUUCCCUUAACAGUUAGACAGUGGGACUGGCAUUAGCCUUGCUGAGGUAGGCUACCCAGCUCAUGGAUGACAAAGCCUGCUCUGUAACCCUGGACAUUGUAACUCCCUCCACUGUUUCCUGCCUGUGUAGGCUUAGGCUAGAUCAUUUGUAACUGAGGAUUAAAUUCUGUUUUUCUCUCAUUUAACAA
This 580-nucleotide long non-coding RNA is filed under the name Rattus norvegicus (Norway rat). Its description in RNAcentral is "long non-coding RNA NONRATT028939". Lineage: Eukaryota; Metazoa; Chordata; Mammalia; Rodentia; Muridae. The record is from RNAcentral.